GCUUAGUAAUGAAGACAAAUAUAUUUCCCUAAGCGAUGAUCUGGAGCAGAAGGCUGCAGUGCUGAGCUACACCAUAGGUGAACAGACGUGAAGAGACGAGAGAAACCCAGAGAGUCAGGGAAGACCCACAUGAAACAUCAGAGCCAGGGUCACACAUUGUAACCCAAGAUGACCUGGAACUCCUUCUGUAGGCCAGGCUGGCCUUGAACUUGUGGCAAGCAUCCUGCCUUGGUCGCCAAAGAUCUGGGACUGAAAAUACAAAACACACCACCAACUUUAAAACUUCAGGGUAUUUACCCAGAGGUGGCUCAGGAUAAUGUGCUGCAUGGGAAACUCCUGUUUGAUGCAAGAAUAUUGUGUCCACUUUUACCAAAGUCGGGUGAAGCAAGUGAGUUUCAGUCACAGCAGAAACUGGAGUCACACAAUUCCCUGAGCUCUGCCUAUUGUUUGGCUGUGGGUCUCUGCAUCUGUCUCCAUCAGCUGCUGGGUGAAGUCUCUCUGGUGACAGUUCUGCAAUGCUCCUGUCUGCACGUAUGGCAGGAUGUCAUCGAUAGUGUCGGGGGUGAGACUGGCUAACAUGGAAAACUGAAGUGAUGGCUCAUACUGGAGAUGUGCGAAGGGAACACUCACUCCUCCGCCCCUAGCAGGAGAGCAAACUUAUGCAACGACUCUGGAAGUCAAUUUGUCAGUUUCUCAGAAAAUGGGGAAUAGUUCUACCUGAAGAUCCAACUAUACCAUCCUGGGCUCCAUCAUACCACAAGGACACAUGCUCAGCUAUGCUCACAGCAGCUUUAUUCAUAAUAGCUAGAAAACUGGAAACGACUUAGAUGUCCGUCAACCGAAGAAAGGAUAAAGAAAAUGUGGUCCAUUUACACAAUGGAAUAUUGCUCGGCUAUUAAAAACAAUGACAUCAUGAAAUUUGCAAGCAAAUGGAUGGAACUAGAAAAUAUCAUCCUGAGUGAGGUGACCCAGACCCAGAAAUAGAAACGUGUACAUGGAAGCCAUCAAUUUCAUCUGCACCACAACUCAGAAAAUAGGCUAAUGAGUCAACGACAAAGCUGUAAACAGUCUUCGACAUGGAUUGGCCUCGUGUUCCUCAACUUUGGAUGCACUUUGGAAUCACCUGAUACGGAGAUGACAGACAGAUGGAUGGAGGGACGGACGGACAGAUGGACAGAUUCUUCAGAGAAUCCAUUUAAUAAAUCUGGGCAAGUUUUUUUUUAAUUUGGGAGUAGCCCAAAAUAAUCUAGAACUCCCCAUUCUUCCACCUCAGCCCCCUGACAGGUUUGCAUCAGUAUACCAUAAAUGACAGUAGCUUUCACAAACUCUUCAGUGUGGUUCUAAUCUUUAGCCAGAGUUAAAUAUUAGUCUAAUCACCUAAGUUUAUUAACAAUAAAACUAAGGUUCAGAAUGCAUAAGAAACUUGACCAAAAUUUGGCCAGCAUGUCUCCACAUUUGGUUUUUUGUGGUUUGUGUGGUUUUGCUUUGAGACAGGGUCUAUCUAUAUAGUCCUGGCUGACCUGAAGUUCUCUCUGUAGACUAGACUAACUUCAAACCCACAAGCAUCCUUCUUCAUCUGCCUCGGGUGCACUAGGAUCAAUGAAAUGGGCCACCAUGCACUUGUAAUGCAUCCUGUAGACCCAGAGGUUCUUGGAUUCCAGGCCACCCUGAAAAGCACAAGGAGGAGGAAGGAGAGGGGGGAGAGACAACGGCAAUAAAAUGAUGGUGUUUAUAA
Molecule: long non-coding RNA, 1735 nt
Organism: Rattus norvegicus (Norway rat)
Lineage: Eukaryota; Metazoa; Chordata; Mammalia; Rodentia; Muridae
Source: RefSeq, a predicted model, not a curated record